AACGAGCGAGAGAGAGCUUGCUUUCUCAAGCGAGUGGCGAACGGGUGAGUAACGCGUGAGGAACCUGCCUCAAAGAGGGGGACAACAGUUGGAAACGACUGCUAAUACCGCAUAAGCCCACGGGUCGGCAUCGACCAGAGGGAAAAGGAGCAAUCCGCUUUGAGAUGGCCUCGCGUCCGAUUAGCUAGUUGGUGAGGUAACGGCCCACCAAGGCAACGAUCGGUAGCCGGACUGAGAGGUUGAACGGCCACAUUGGGACUGAGACACGGCCCAGACUCCUACGGGAGGCAGCAGUGGGGAAUAUUGCACAAUGGGGGAAACCCUGAUGCAGCGACGCCGCGUGGAGGAAGAAGGUCUUCGGAUUGUAAACUCCUGUUGUUGAGGAAGAUAAUGACGGUACUCAACAAGGAAGUGACGGCUAACUACGUGCCAGCAGCCGCGGUAAAACGUAGGUCACAAGCGUUGUCCGGAAUUACUGGGUGUAAAGGGAGCGCAGGCGGGAAGACAAGUUGGAAGUGAAAUCUAUGGGCUCAACCCAUAAACUGCUUUCAAAACUGUUUUUCUUGAGUAGUGCAGAGGUAGGCGGAAUUCCCGGUGUAGCGGUGGAAUGCGUAGAUAUCGGGAGGAACACCAGUGGCGAGGCGGCCUACUGGGCACCAACUGACGCUGAGGCUCGAAAGUGUGGGUAGCAAACAGG
Molecule: ribosomal RNA, 697 nt
Filed under: uncultured Lachnospiraceae bacterium
Lineage: Bacteria; Bacillati; Bacillota; Clostridia; Lachnospirales; Lachnospiraceae
Description: bacterial SSU rRNA
Rfam family: Bacterial small subunit ribosomal RNA
Source: RNAcentral